UACGAGGGGUGCAAGCGUUGCUCGGAAUUAUUGGGCGUAAAGGGUAGGUAGGUGGUCUCAUUUGUCUGGGGUGAAAGCCUCGAGCUUAACUCGAGAAGUGCCCCGGAAACGGUGAGACUAGAGUACUGGAGAGGGUCGUGGAAUUCCCGGUGUAGCGGUGAAAUGCGCAGAUAUCAGGAGGAACACCGAUGGCGAAGGCAGGUCUCUGGGCCGAUACUGACGCUGAGGAGCGAAAGCGUGGGGAGCGAACAGG
This 253-nucleotide ribosomal RNA is filed under the name uncultured bacterium. RNAcentral's name for it is "partial 16S ribosomal RNA". It matches the Rfam family "Bacterial small subunit ribosomal RNA", at positions 524 to 776 of the family's 1533-position model. The record is from RNAcentral.